This 441-nucleotide ribosomal RNA is filed under the name uncultured Dechloromonas sp. Its description in RNAcentral is "bacterial SSU rRNA". It matches the Rfam family "Bacterial small subunit ribosomal RNA", at positions 30 to 467 of the family's 1533-position model. The record is from RNAcentral. Lineage: Bacteria; Pseudomonadati; Pseudomonadota; Betaproteobacteria; Rhodocyclales; Azonexaceae.
AUUGAACGCUGGCGGCAUGCCUUACACAUGCAAGUCGAACGGUAACGGGCCUUCGGGUGCCGACGAGUGGCGAACGGGUGAGUAAUGUAUCGGAACGUACCUUUCAGUGGGGGAUAACGUAGCGAAAGUUACGCUAAUACCGCAUAUUCUGUAAGCAGGAAAGCAGGGGAUCGCAAGACCUUGCGCUGAUUGAGCGGCCGAUAUCAGAUUAGCUAGUUGGUGAGGUAAAGGCUCACCAAGGCGACGAUCUGUAGCGGGUCUGAGAGGAUGAUCCGCCACACUGGAACUGAGACACGGUCCAGACUCCUACGGGAGGCAGCAGUGGGGAAUUUUGGACAAUGGGGGCAACCCUGAUCCAGCCAUGCCGCGUGAGUGAAGAAGGCCUUCGGGUUGUAAAGCUCUUUCGGCCGGGAAGAAAUCGCAUGGGCUAAUACCCUGUGC